Molecule: long non-coding RNA, 205 nt
Filed under: Mytilus galloprovincialis (Mediterranean mussel)
Lineage: Eukaryota; Metazoa; Mollusca; Bivalvia; Mytilida; Mytilidae
Source: RNAcentral
AUAGUUAUUGUCGAGCCUGCAACUUUUGUUGCAGAAAGCUCGACAUAGGGAUAGUGAUCCGGCGGCGGCGGCGGCUACGGCGGCUACGGCGGCGGCGUUAGCUAACUUCUUAAAAGCUUUAUAUUUUAGAAGUUAGAAAGACUGUAUGCUUCAUACUUUGUAUAUGGAUGCCUCAUGUUACGAACUUUCCGUCAGUCACAUGUCC